CCUACGGGGGGCAGCAGUGGGGAAUAUUGGACAAUGGGCGAAAGCCUGAUCCAGCCAUGCCGCGUGUGUGAAGAAGGCCUUUUGGUUGUAAAGCACUUUAAGCGGGGAGGAGGGCUCUGUGGUUAAUACCCAUAGAAGUCGGACGUUACCCGCAGAAUAAGCACCGGCUAACUCUGUGCCAGCAGCCGCGGUAAUACAGAGGGUGCGAGCGUUAAUCGGAAUUACUGGGCGUAAAGCGCGCGUAGGCGGCUUGUUAAGUCGGAUGUGAAAUCCCUGGGCUCAACCUAGGCAUUGCAUACGAUACUGGCAAGCUAGAGUAUGGGAGAGGAAGGUAGAAUUCCAGGUGUAGCGGUGAAAUGCGUAGAGAUCUGGAGGAAUACCGAUGGCGAAGGCAGCCUUCUGGCCUAAUACUGACGCUGAGGUGCGAAAGCAUGGGGAGCAAACAGGAUUAGAUACCCGGGUAGUC
Molecule: ribosomal RNA, 466 nt
Filed under: uncultured bacterium
Lineage: Bacteria
Description: bacterial SSU rRNA
Rfam family: Bacterial small subunit ribosomal RNA
Source: RNAcentral